Mauremys reevesii (Reeves's turtle) is the source of this 1310-nucleotide long non-coding RNA. RefSeq lists it as uncharacterized. The record is from RefSeq and is a predicted model, not a curated record. Lineage: Eukaryota; Metazoa; Chordata; Testudines; Geoemydidae. The transcript has 6 exons.
UGGUCAUCCAUUCAGGUGGAAGGAAGGUAACUGAUGAAAUCUUCAUCUCUCUAAAGAGCACAAGAAGUUGCUGUACUGAAUAAAGCAAUAAAAAUGGGAGCUACCUGUUCAGAAGAAAGCAAAGUAGUUAGUAAUUCUAACCAAUGAUGAUGAUCUCUGCUCCUUUUUCCUUCCCAGAGAAGGCCAUUGGUUAUUCCUACAAGGAUGUAACAGGGAAGUUAUUUCAAAGAACAAGUGCAACUAACCAGAGUGUGAAGAUGAGCAUUGAGCCUGCUCUUCCAUUUGCAGAGAGGAGUUGUCCAGCUGAUUCUAUUUGUGCCUAAUUGAUCAUUGUUGCUUAUUUUUCAGAUGUCAAGAAAUAAGCGGAACUGAUCAUUUCUAUCAAGAGGUAAGGAACGCACCUCCUCACAGCAUGGAGGCAGGAAUGAAAGGCUCUGUUUCUAUUUUCAGGUGAAAGGAAGGUCUUACCAUUCAAGGGAGGAUGAGAUGCUGCUGAAUUUAAGAAAAAAAGGCAGACAGGUUUUGCUCUUCUGAGAUAUGAAGAGACCAGGUGGUCAUUCCUACCAGGGAGAAGUGAGGCUUAGUGGCAUGGCUGUCCUGGGCAAGGAGACAAAAAAGCCACUUCAAAUAGUUCAGCUAGUCGCAAAUCUGAAUCAAGUCAGCAGAACAUCACAGACAUGGAGAUCAGAGAAAUGCAGAUGAUUUGAACGUUGAGGGUGUGAAAUCUUCAGGAAGUUGCUAGAAGAUCUGGGAUAUCUACAGAAAGGAAACAAGCAAAACUCGUCACUGUUACCAAGAGGAGGAGAGAGUUACAGAUGCUCAGGAUUUGAGUACAAAGGAAUAGGAAUGGAGCUGAACAGAUCCAACACCUGAAAAGACGAUUGGAUCUCAAAAUAUGAAAGAUCCUUCAUUCAAUAAAGCAACAGGAUUGGCUCUGAGGAGAGGUAAGCAGCAUUUGGAAAGAGCCAGCGUGGACAAUAUUCAAGACACAAUGUUCAAAGGUUGCUGCUGGGAUGGAAGUAAAGAAGAAAGCCCUGGAGACAGGUUAGUGCUGGGACACAGACACUAUCCUGGAGGGGCCUGGGACAGGGUAUGUAACCAUAGCAACCAGCGGGUCCUUUCCCCACUGUGGUCCUGGCUCGCAUGCACAGGGUGAAACCGAUCGCCAUGUUUGGGGUCAGGAAGGAAUUUUCCUCCAGGGCAGAUUGGCCAGAGACCCUGGAGGUUUUUCGCCUUCCUCUGGGGCAUCGAGCAGGGACCAGCCCUUAGGACCAUUUACGAACAGACAUAAUAAAAUCCAUCAAAGAGAA